CUUCAGCUUGUUUGCUCUACUGGUAUGUGGCCAUCAGCCUUACAUAUAUAAGUUAGAAAGUCUCUUGGUAGGGGUGAGCAAUCGGUCAGUUCAGUUCUUUUAAAAUAAUUGUGAAAACUUCACCCUCCUACUAUCUAUCUUCUUCCAAACAGUGAACAUGGAAUCAAAUUAUGCAACUUUCAGAAAUUAGAAGAAAUUCCAAUUGGCACAUUCACUUGCUAAAUUCCAAUGAAAUAACAGAAACCCAUUAUGGAAAUCACUAAUAUUAAAUUCAUGGUCAUCGUGCAAUUUUUGUAACUUUGUGUAAGGAAGGAUUCUUGUAGAAGAGUACCAGUAUUGGCAAUCACACACAGGAUAUGGAAUAAAUUUAUGAUUUAUUUGGAUUUUCCUGAAGUUGAACUUGAUAAUGGGCCAUUGCAUUAACUCGAUAGCAGGAAGCAUAGAGCGAAGGAGAAAAUGGCCACAGAAGAGAGAAGGUAGUGGGAGGUUUAUGGAUAGUAGCUGCAGUGAAAACUUUAAUAGCUGAUGAUGGCAGCUGCUGCAGGUUUCAAAUUGAUGAUGUCAACGGAGAAGGUUUUAGUGUACUAGGAUUAGAUGGCAGAAAAGAGAAGAGUAGAAAAGAAGAGAGGGAGGAUAGGUUGCUAGGUUUACUGAAAAAGAUGUUUAUAUAGUGUGAAUUGGGCGUCUAAGAUCAUCUGAAAGGGAUGGUUGAGAUUUGUGAAAGUUG
Molecule: unclassified non-coding RNA, 727 nt
Filed under: Hevea brasiliensis (rubber tree)
Lineage: Eukaryota; Viridiplantae; Streptophyta; Magnoliopsida; Malpighiales; Euphorbiaceae
Source: RNAcentral